Molecule: non-coding RNA, 29 nt
Filed under: Homo sapiens (human)
Lineage: Eukaryota; Metazoa; Chordata; Mammalia; Primates; Hominidae
Source: RNAcentral
UGCAGGGACAAAUACUGUGCGUGGAUCGA